AAACCGCCGGUUUUUCCGGUAAGGAUGGAAAGGCGAGGUAAGAGCUCACCGGCGUGCAGGAGACUGCACGGCCAUGUAAACCCUAUCCGAAGCAACACCGACCGAAUGCUUUUUUGCGCGUCAGCUGGGCGUAUAUUCAACGGGUGGCUUGAGCGUACAGGCAACUGUGCGUCGAGAAAGAUGAUUGCCUUAAAAGACAGAACUCGGCUUACAGAUUUACUCAUUAA
RNAcentral lists this RNase P RNA (227 nucleotides) under Clostridia bacterium. RNAcentral's name for it is "partial RNase P RNA component class A". It matches the Rfam family "Bacterial RNase P class A", at positions 123 to 367 of the family's 367-position model. Rfam says of the family: Ribonuclease P (RNase P) is a ubiquitous endoribonuclease, found in archaea, bacteria and eukarya as well as chloroplasts and mitochondria. Its best characterised activity is the generation of mature 5'-ends of tRNAs by cleaving the 5'-leader elements of precursor-tRNAs. The record is from RNAcentral. Lineage: Bacteria; Bacillati; Bacillota; Clostridia.